GCAAAUGGGGGGUAGGUGGCGGGGGGAAGAGGUAGGGCGAGAGGUGUGUCCUGGUUGUAUGGGGGGAAAGUGCGCGGAGGGGGCUUGUUACGUCUGGUGUGAAAUCCUAGGGAGUAAGCCUGGGCCUGCAGUGGAUACGGGCAGACUAGAGGUAGGUAGGGGAGAAUGGAAUUCCCGGUGUAGCGGUGAAAUGCGCAGAUAUCGGGAGGAACACCGGUGGCGAAGGCGGGUCUCUGGGCCUUACCUGACACUGAGGAGCGAAAGCGUGGGGAGCGAACAGGAUUAGAUACCCCGGUAGUC
This 300-nucleotide ribosomal RNA is filed under the name uncultured Sulfophobococcus sp. RNAcentral's name for it is "partial 16S ribosomal RNA". The stretch from base 60 to 300 matches the Rfam family "Bacterial small subunit ribosomal RNA", at positions 555 to 795 of the family's 1533-position model. The record is from RNAcentral. Lineage: Archaea; Thermoproteati; Thermoproteota; Thermoprotei; Desulfurococcales; Desulfurococcaceae.